GAAGAGGGUGUGUCGUCGGCUGGCUCGCCAUAUCUGCUCUGAGAUGUGAGAGGAGAGGAGGAGACGAGAAAGGAGAGGAGGGGAGGAGGAUUCCAGUCCAGAACUGAAAACCAGACCAGGCUGCUCUCUCACAUGGCCCUGACACGUUAGACAUCUGAUUGGUCAAUCGGCUGCCCACGUGCCGCCAUUACAACUGCAGACACCAUAGGGACCAACAACCUGCCCAAGGGACUCAAGAUGGAUAUUGGCCACUGCCUAUAAUCUUACAUGCAUUUGCUUUUUUUUUUUUUUUAAAUGUUAUACGGUAUUAAUAUGUCC
Molecule: long non-coding RNA, 318 nt
Organism: Sardina pilchardus (European sardine)
Lineage: Eukaryota; Metazoa; Chordata; Actinopteri; Clupeiformes; Clupeidae
Exons: 3
Source: RefSeq, a predicted model, not a curated record